AAUAGAUACCCGGGUAGUCCACGCCGUAAACGAUGAGUGCUAAGUGUUAGAGGGUUUCCGCCCUUUAGUGCUGCAGCUAACGCAUUAAGCACUCCGCCUGGGGAGUACGGCCGCAAGGCUGAAACUCAAAGGAAUUGACGGGGGCCCGCACAAGCGGUGGAGCAUGUGGUUUAAUUCGAAGCAACGCGAAGAACCUUACCAGGUCUUGACAUCCUCUGACAACCCUAGAGAUAGGGCUUUCCCCUUCGGGGGACAGAGUGACAGAUGGUGCAUGGUUGUCGUCAGCUCGUGUCGUGAGAUGUUGGGUUAAGUCCCGCAACGAGCGCAACCCUUGAUCUUAGUUGCCAGCAUUCAGUUGGGCACUCUAAGGUGACUGCCGGUGACAAACCGGAGGAAGGUGGGGAUGACGUCAAAUCAUCAUGCCCCUUAUGACCUGGGCUACACACGUGCUACAAUGGAUGGUACAAAGGGCUGCAAACCUGCGAAGGUAAGCGAAUCCCAUAAAGCCAUUCUCAGUUCGGAUUGC
RNAcentral lists this ribosomal RNA (526 nucleotides) under uncultured bacterium. Its description in RNAcentral is "bacterial SSU rRNA". It matches the Rfam family "Bacterial small subunit ribosomal RNA", at positions 777 to 1301 of the family's 1533-position model. The record is from RNAcentral.